Molecule: ribosomal RNA, 372 nt
Filed under: Prionus laticollis (broad-necked root borer)
Lineage: Eukaryota; Metazoa; Arthropoda; Insecta; Coleoptera; Cerambycidae
Description: partial 12S ribosomal RNA
Source: RNAcentral
ACUAGGAUUAGAUACCCUAUUAUUUUGAAUGUAAAUUUUUAUUCUGUGUUAGUAUUAGUUAUGUUCUUGAAAAUUAAAGAUUUUGGCGGUAUUUUAGUCCAUUCAGAGGAACCUGUCCUGUAAUCGAUGGUCCACGAAUUAAUUUACUUUCUUUUUGUUUGCAUAUCGUCGUAGUUUGAAAAUUUUUUUAGAAUUUUAAUUUUCAAAAUUUUUUUGGAAAGGAUAUCAGAUCAAGGUGCAGCUAAUAGGAAAGGAGAGAUGGGUUACAAUAAAUUUAUUUUGAGAAUUAAAUUUUGGAAAAGAAUUAUGAAUUUGGAUUUGAGAGUAAUUUUAAUUAAAUAAUUAAUGUGAUUUAGGCUCUAGAAUAUGCAC